GGGAUUCACGUGCGGAAGAAAGUCUGAGGGGCGCGGCAUGCGGUUUCUGUUCAAGACCGACUACAACGACGACAUCCGGCUCAUCCCGCACAGCGGUUACAUCUGGUCCUAUGGCGCGCUGCUGGUGCUGNNNNNNNNNNNNAUCGCGCCGUUCACACUCAGCAGCUAUCUGAUGAGCCAGCUCGUGUUCGUCUGCAUCUACGCCAUCGUCGGCGUCGGGCUGAUGAUCCUUACCGGCUUUACCGGGCAGGCC
This 253-nucleotide unclassified non-coding RNA is filed under the name Hevea brasiliensis (rubber tree). Lineage: Eukaryota; Viridiplantae; Streptophyta; Magnoliopsida; Malpighiales; Euphorbiaceae. The record is from RNAcentral.